GCCGCAUGGCAAUGGUGGGCGUAUGAACCGUGUCAGGUCCGGAAGGAAGCAGCACUAAGUACUGUUCCAUCAUGUGUCAUGUGUACAU
Molecule: signal recognition particle RNA, 88 nt
Filed under: Alkalibacterium olivapovliticus
Lineage: Bacteria; Bacillati; Bacillota; Bacilli; Lactobacillales; Carnobacteriaceae
Description: Bacterial small signal recognition particle RNA
Rfam family: Bacterial small signal recognition particle RNA
About the family: The signal recognition particle (SRP) is a universally conserved ribonucleoprotein involved in the co-translational targeting of proteins to membranes. Archaeal SRP consists of a 7S RNA and homologues of the eukaryotic SRP19 and SRP54 proteins. In most bacteria, the SRP consists of a 4.5S RNA and the Ffh protein (a homologue of the eukaryotic SRP54 protein).
Source: RNAcentral